RNAcentral lists this microRNA precursor (121 nucleotides) under Pelobates cultripes (western spadefoot toad). Lineage: Eukaryota; Metazoa; Chordata; Amphibia; Anura; Pelobatidae. The record is from RNAcentral.
AGCAGGACAGUAGGUCCCCCCCUCCACAUUCUUAUUUCUGGCCCCCACCCCUGUGCGACGGGUGGGGGCCCGAAAUAAGAAUGUGGAGGGGGAGACCUACUGUCCUACCCCCAAAACCCCA